RNAcentral lists this transfer RNA (75 nucleotides) under Microvirga makkahensis. RNAcentral describes it as "tRNA-Glu". It matches the Rfam family "tRNA". Rfam says of the family: Transfer RNA (tRNA) molecules are approximately 80 nucleotides in length. RNAcentral also lists the same sequence under 2 other names. The record is from RNAcentral. Lineage: Bacteria; Pseudomonadati; Pseudomonadota; Alphaproteobacteria; Hyphomicrobiales; Methylobacteriaceae.
GCGCCCUUCGUCUAUCGGUUAGGACAUCUGCCUUUCACGCAGAAAAGAGGGGUUCGACUCCCCUAGGGCGCGCCA